AUUGAACGCUGGCGGCAUGCUUUACACAUGCAAGUCGAACGGCAGCGCGGGGGCAACCCCGGCGGCGAGUGGCGAACGGGUGAGUAAUGUAUCGGAACGUACCCAGUCGUGGGGGAUCACGUAGCGAAAGCUACGCUAAUACCGCCUACGAUCUAUGGAUGAAAGCGGGGGACCGUAAGGCCUCGUGCGAUUGGAGUGGCCGAUAUCAGAUUAGGUAGUUGGUGGGGUAAAGGCCCACCAAGCCGACGAUCUGUAGCUGGUCUGAGAGGACGACCAGCCACACUGGGACUGAGACACGGCCCAGACUCCCACGGGAGGCAGCAGUGGGGAAUUUUGGACAAUGGGUGCAAGCCUGAUCCAGCCAUUCCGCGUGCAGGAUGAAGGCCUUCGGGUUGUAAACUGCUUUUGUACGGAACGAAACGGCUCUCUCUAAUACAGGGGGCUAAUGACGGUACCGUAAGAAUAAGCACCGGCUAACUACGUGCCAGCCGCCGCGGUAA
This 500-nucleotide ribosomal RNA is filed under the name uncultured bacterium. RNAcentral's name for it is "partial 16S ribosomal RNA". It matches the Rfam family "Bacterial small subunit ribosomal RNA", at positions 30 to 523 of the family's 1533-position model. The record is from RNAcentral.